AACGAACGCUGGCGGCAUGCCUAACACAUGCAAGUCGAACGAGACCUUCUGGUCUAGUUGCUCACGAGUGCGUCACGCGUGGGAACCUUCCCUUAGGCUCGGAAUAACUCCCCGACAGGGAUGCUAAUACCGGAUAAUGUCUUCUGACCAAAGAUUUAUCGCCUUUUGAUGCGCCCGCGUUGGAUUAGCUAGUUGGUAGGGUAAAAGCCUACCAAGGCGACGAUCCAUAGCUGGUCUGAGAGGAUGAUCAGCCACACUGGGACUGAGACACGGCCCGGAAGCAUACGGGAGGAAGCAGUGGGGAAUAGUGGAAAAUGGGUGGAAGGCUGAUCCAGCAAUGAUGCGUGAGUGAUGAAGGCCUUAGGGUUGUAAAGCUGUAUUACCCGGGAUGAUAAUGACAGUACCGGGAGAAUAAGCUCCGGCUAACUCCGUG
This 433-nucleotide ribosomal RNA is filed under the name uncultured bacterium. RNAcentral describes it as "partial 16S ribosomal RNA". It matches the Rfam family "Bacterial small subunit ribosomal RNA", at positions 29 to 507 of the family's 1533-position model. The record is from RNAcentral.